CCCAUUCAAAAUAAGCAGAAAACCAAGAAAAAAUAAUAAAUAAAAUUCAGUCUAAAAAUAGUUCAUUUACAAUUGGCCCAGAUCAAUUUACUCAAAAAUACAGACUCUAACCCCAAAAUAUACCAAGACCCAAAAUACAAACCAAGCCCAUUUAUAAAUGGCCCAGUACAAACCCAAACUCUAGCCUAAACACCUAAUGGCCCAACUCAGCCCAAAUCCCAACCUAAUGGCAGAAACCCUAGCAACGAGCAAGCCCCAGCACCGCAGCAGCCCCAACUCCUCCGCACGUGCCAAGCCUCUGCCCCCACGCAUGCGCCUUUGCCUCCGUACACGCCACGUCCCCAGCCCUGCUCUCCGUACUUGCAAGAGACGAACAAACGAGCAGCAAAAACAGACAACGGUAAAAAAAGGAGCAACAAUGAGGGAUUGACAGCAAAUACUAGCAGUAAAUAGAAAGUGUAAAAUUUUUUAAAAUUUCUUUGUCUCUAUCCGGCUAUAAAAAGGGCCAAUUGAAAUUUGUAAAAGGGGGAGGCAUAUUGAAUACAAGAAAAUAAAAAAAAAUGUUCAGAGAAAACAAAAGCAAAAUUUGAAAGGUGAUUGCAGUGUUCCUUUUUUUGGUUUAUUCUUUUCUAUUUAUUUAUUCGACAAUUAUUCUCUAAAAAAGUAGAGGAAAAGAGAGGGAGAGGAGAACGAGCAAUUGGAGUUGGAUGGAGGUUAGAGGCAUGAAACAGCGCAGAGAUGAGAAGCUUGCUUAGGUUUUGUUUCAAAU
Molecule: long non-coding RNA, 769 nt
Filed under: Gossypium barbadense (sea-island cotton)
Lineage: Eukaryota; Viridiplantae; Streptophyta; Magnoliopsida; Malvales; Malvaceae
Description: long non-coding RNA (GBAR_LNC018852)
Source: RNAcentral